UUUUGUGGCCCGCCCCCGCGGUAAUACGUAGGGGGCGAGCGUUGUCCGGAAUUACUGGGCGUAAAGAGCACGUAGGCGGCUAUAAAAGUCAGAUGUAAAAAACCUGGGCUCAACCGAGGGUAUGCAUUUGAAACUAAAUAGCUUGAGUCAAGGAGAGGAGAGCGGAAUUCCUGGUGUAGCGGUGAAAUGCGUAGAGAUCAGGAAGACUACCAGUGGGGAAAGCGGCUUUCUGGACUUGAACUGACGCUGAGGUGCGAAAGCGUGGGGAGCAACCAGGAUUAGAUCCCCUGGUAUUCCCCGCCGUAAACGAGGGAUACUAGGUGUGGGUGAGGAAUCAUCCGUGCCGCAGUUAACGCAAUAAGUAUUCCGCCUGUGAGACGCCCCUC
This 386-nucleotide ribosomal RNA is filed under the name uncultured Thermoanaerobacterium sp. RNAcentral describes it as "bacterial SSU rRNA". It matches the Rfam family "Bacterial small subunit ribosomal RNA", at positions 501 to 873 of the family's 1533-position model. The record is from RNAcentral. Lineage: Bacteria; Bacillati; Bacillota; Clostridia; Thermoanaerobacterales; Thermoanaerobacteraceae.